RNAcentral lists this ribosomal RNA (838 nucleotides) under uncultured archaeon. Its description in RNAcentral is "bacterial SSU rRNA". It matches the Rfam family "Archaeal small subunit ribosomal RNA", at positions 21 to 859 of the family's 1478-position model. The record is from RNAcentral.
AGGUUACUGCUAUCGGUGUUCGCCUAAGCCAUGCGAGUCAUAUGUUCGUAAGAACAUGGCGUACUGCUCAGUAACACGUGGAUAACCUGCCCUUGGGUCCGGCAUAACCCCGGGAAACUGGGGAUAAUUCCGGAUAACGCACAUAUGCUGGAAUGCUUUAUGCGUAAAAUGGAUUCGUCUGCCCAAGGAUGGGUCUGCGGCCUAUCAGGUAGUAGUGGGUGUAAUGUACCUACUAGCCUACGACGGGUACGGGUUGUGAGAGCAAGAGCCCGGAGAUGGAUUCUGAGACAUGAAUCCAGGCCCUACGGGGCGCAGCAGGCGCGAAAACUUUACAAUGCGGGAAACCGUGAUAAGGGGACACCGAGUGCCAGCAUCCUAUGCUGGCUGUCCGGGUGUGUAAAAUACACCUGUUAGCAAGGGCCGGGCAAGACCGGUGCCAGCCGCCGCGGUAACACCGGCGGCCCGAGUGGUGAUCGUGAUUAUUGGGUCUAAAGGGUCCGUAGCCGUUUUGGUCAGUCCUCCGGGAAAUCUGACAGCUUAACUGUUAGGCUUUCGGAGGAUACUGCCAGACUUGGAACCGGGAGAGGUAAGAGGUACUACAGGGGUAGGAGUGAAAUCUUGUAAUCCCUGUGGGACCACCUGUGGCGAAGGCGUCUUACCAGAACGGGUUCGACGGUGAGGGACGAAAGCUGGGGGCACGAACCGGAUUAGAUACCCGGGUAGUCCCAGCCGUAAACGAUGCUCGCUAGGUGUCAGGCAUGGCGCGACCGUGUCUGGUGCCGCAGGGAAGCCGUGAAGCAAGCCACCUGGGAGGUACGGCCGCAAGGCUGAAACUCAA